AAUAAUAACACCUCUUAUCUCUCCCAUUUCCCCACCUUAGCCGGUGGGGUUUUUAUUUUUA
RNAcentral lists this unclassified non-coding RNA (61 nucleotides) under Aliivibrio salmonicida LFI1238. Its description in RNAcentral is "small RNA sRNA2". Lineage: Bacteria; Pseudomonadati; Pseudomonadota; Gammaproteobacteria; Vibrionales; Vibrionaceae. The record is from RNAcentral.